Molecule: ribosomal RNA, 497 nt
Filed under: uncultured bacterium
Lineage: Bacteria
Description: partial 16S ribosomal RNA
Rfam family: Bacterial small subunit ribosomal RNA
Source: RNAcentral
GAUGAACGCUGGCGGCGUGCCUAAUACAUGCAAGUCGAACGCUGAAGCUUGGUGCUUGCCCCGAGCGGAUGAGUUGCGAACGGGUGAGUAACGCGUAGGUAACCUGCCUCUUAGCGGGGGAUAACUAUUGGAAACGAUAGCUAAUACCGCAUAAAAGUCGACAUCGCAUGAUGUUGACUUGAAAUGUGCAAUUGCAUCACUAAGAGCUGGUCCUGCGUUGUAUUAGCUAGUUGGUGAGGUAACGGCUCACCAAGGCGGGGAUACAUAGCCGACCGGAGAGGGUGGUCGGCCACACUGGGACUGGGACACGGCCCAGACUCCUACGGGAGGCAGCAGUAGCGAAUCUGCGGCAAUGGGGGCAACCCUGACCGAGCAACGCCGAGUGAGAGAAGAAGGGUUUCGGAUCGUAAAGCUCGGUUGUAAGAGAAGAACGAGUGUGAGAGUGGAAAGUGCACACUGUGACGGUAACUUAACAGAAAGGGACGGCUAACUACGUG